ACCAUCUGUAUAUCAGUACUGCUGGGAAAGUUCCAUUUACCUGCCUAGAAAGGAUAGAGUUUUAAAUCCCAAGUGGGCAGUUGGGUAGAUGAGAGUAGGGUGGACAUUGGAUGUCUGGUCCAAGGGUGAGUGAGGACUUCAAGGACAAUGACUGAUGAUGAGUGAGUUUGUGGCGACCCUGGGCUAUAUCCAAGUAGUCUUUAAGGAAAGAUCAAUCCAUGACGACAUCAUCUCAGAAUGUUGAGAACACAGAGCCGAAUCAGAAGUUGAAAGUGUAACCACCCUUUGUUCCAAACAUGAGUUCCAUCUAAGAAUAAACAGGCUUGAGGCUGUAUAACCCAGUGUGCCUGGGUCAUCAGGAGUGAAUUUAGAGCCUCUGGCUCCUAGGACUCAGUGUGAACAAUGGGGUAGCACACUUCCCAGGACAGACUGUUCCAGGCAGGCCACCAAGCCAGAUACCUUUAAUUACACCCAUUUCCAGGGAGCACUAUUGAGGAAAGAGGAUUGAGGAGGUGGAGGGUGAGUUGGUCAAAUGAUUCAGCCUAUUUUACUCUUUGAGCUGUGUCUUGGUUUUUCAGGAGAUGUUUACAUAUUCCAUGUAGUGGAUUGAAUAAUAUCCCUAAAUUUGUGUCUAUCAGGGACCCCAGAAUAUGACCUCAUUUGGAAUUAGGGUCUAUAUAUAAUUAGGUGAGAAGAGGUUCGUGCUGGAUCAGGGUAAACAAUCCAAUGAUUAUUGUCUUUACAAGAAGAGGGAACAGACAGGAAAGGAAGUCAUAUAAGACAGAGGCAGAGAUUGGAGUGAUACAGCUAACAACCAACAAGUGCCAAGUCUUGCCAGAAGCCACCAGAGCUAGUAAGAGGCACGAGUGUUUUUCCCUAGAGCCUUCAGACGGAGCAUGGCUCUGCUGACACCUUGAUGAUGGACUUCUAAUCUCCAGAACUGUGAGAAAAUAUAUUUGUUUCUUUGUCAUCUAGUUUGUUGUGCGUUGUUAUGGCAGGUCUAGAAAAUGAAUAUAUUUGUUGAGGACAAUGUUGGGAGGGGGUACAAUAUUCAGCUCAUGUGUCUCUUUAAGGUCCUGGGACUAUAGGAUUCCUGUUGCCUGGAAGAUCUGGGGUCUGGAGCUGGCACUUCAUGCUGUGGGCCCUGAUAUGGUCCAAAAAUUAACUAGUAAUUAGUAAAGGUAAUAAAAUGGGUUAUCCCUUUCUUACACGCUUCAUAGUGGCUACCUUGGGAGAAUUUCUUUGUAAAAUCCUUGCUAACCAUUAUCUGAAAGAACAUAAAGACGUGGAUCCUUCGUGAAGACUGCCCUGUGGUUCCUUGAACAGAUGGACAACUAAGAAUGGAUUUUAAAGAAGGCAACAAAAUGAAGAGAAAAACAAGUCCAGUGAGUAAGGACCGCUCCAAUUGGCCGUCUGAGUUAGACAACUGCGAAGGUUUUCCGUGGAUGUUGGAAAGGGGAAGAACAAGGAGAAUGGGAUUUUUCUUCAAAAUUUCAUGACGGAUGGUGGGUACUUAUUAGCUUGAAGUUACUAAGGUUAAGAAUUCCGUUCUAGGAGUUGGGCUGAAAGCUAAGAGAAGCGCUUUGCAGAAUUUGACAGGCAACUGCGAUCUCAGAUCUUCGGGGAUUUUCCAAGCAGGAUGCGGGCGCCCAAAAGGAGGGAAAGUCCGUAGGGCGCACAUGACCCAACUUCUGUUUUAGGUUUCAAAAGCAAGGAGUAAAUACGAUCUAUUAGAGGGCUAGAUAAGGACCCUCAGGUUCCAGGAGGCACACUCGCAAAUUGUUGGCUGAAAAAAAAGGGGGGCUCCACUUCUGCCUUUUCCAAACGCGCUGACAGCCUGGUCGGGACCACCUGUACUCACGGCUCAUACUUCUGCCAAGUCUCUUCCCACAGCUCUCUCCUGUGCUUUCCUAACCCUCCCCGAGUUUCAGUUCCACCGACAGAACAGCGAGGGCGACAGUUUGGUGGCCAAGCAGCCAUCUCCGGGCGCAGACGCUGCACGGCGCCGCACACCUCUCGGCGCGCGCGCCCUAGGCUCCAGCUCCAGGUCGACCACCAGAGAACCGGCGGACCAGUGGUCAGUCCGAGACCCCGGCGGCUGCCACGGCGCCAG
This is a long non-coding RNA of Tupaia belangeri chinensis (Chinese tree shrew), 2113 nucleotides long. RefSeq lists it as uncharacterized. The transcript has 3 exons. NCBI's taxonomy places the organism in Eukaryota, Metazoa, Chordata, Mammalia, Scandentia, Tupaiidae. The record is from RefSeq and is a predicted model, not a curated record.